RNAcentral lists this ribosomal RNA (549 nucleotides) under uncultured fungus. RNAcentral's name for it is "eukaryotic LSU rRNA". The stretch from base 197 to 350 matches the Rfam family "5.8S ribosomal RNA". Lineage: Eukaryota; Fungi. The record is from RNAcentral.
CGUACANGGUCUCCGUAGGUGAACCUGCGGAGGGAUCAUUACAAGAACGCCCGGGCUUCGGCCUGGUUAUUCAUAACCCUUUGUUGUCCGACUCUGUUGCCUCCGGGGCGAUCCUGCCUUCGGGCGGGGGCUCCGGGUGGACACUUCAAACUCUUGCGUAACUUUGCAGUCUGAGUAAACUUAAUUAAUAAAUUAAAACUUUUAACAACGGAUCUCUUGGUUCUGGCAUCGAUGAAGAACGCAGCGAAAUGCGAUAAGUAAUGUGAAUUGCAGAAUUCAGUGAAUCAUCGAAUCUUUGAACGCACAUUGCGCCCCCUGGUAUUCCGGGGGGCAUGCCUGUUCGAGCGUCAUUUCACCACUCAAGCCUCGCUUGGUAUUGGGCAACGCGGUCCGCCGCGUGCCUCAAAUCGUCCGGCUGGGUCUUCUGUCCCCUAAGCGUUGUGGAAACUAUUCGCUAAAGGGUGUUCGGGAGGCUACGCCGUAAAACAACCCCAUUUCUAAGGUUGACCUCGGAUCAGGUAGGGAUACCCGCUGAACUUAAGCAUAUCA